AUGAAGAAUGUUUAAAAGUGAGAAGAAAGACUUGUUGAUAUUUGGUCACAAAUGGGAUAAGAGCCCAAAACCAUUGCUUUGAGGCAGUGAAUGGCUUGUAUAAAGUUAUUUUUGGUUAGAAUAUGUUAUAAUACAAUGAAUUUGAUUGAUUACAAGUGCUAGAGAUGCAUGAAGAAUGUUUAAAAGUGAGAACAAUGACUUGUUGAUAUUUGGUCCCAAAUGGGAUAAGAAUGCAAAACUAUUGCUUUGAGGCAG
This 255-nucleotide long non-coding RNA is filed under the name Capsella rubella. RNAcentral describes it as "long non-coding RNA (CRUB_LNC000277)". Lineage: Eukaryota; Viridiplantae; Streptophyta; Magnoliopsida; Brassicales; Brassicaceae. The record is from RNAcentral.